UCCGGUGGCUAGAGCGAGGUGGAACCACUCUUAACCAUUCCGAACAAGAUAGUGAAACGCCUCAGCGCCAACGAUAGUUGUACCGCAAGGUGCCGCGAAAAUAGGUCGUCGCCGGAC
RNAcentral lists this ribosomal RNA (117 nucleotides) under Candidatus Curtissbacteria bacterium RIFCSPLOWO2_01_FULL_41_18. Lineage: Bacteria; Candidatus Curtissiibacteriota. The record is from RNAcentral.